ACCAACCACAGAGAUGGCCCUGACCCAGGCCUGCUGGGUACUGAAGAACAGAAAGUCAGGUUACUCAUGUAGAAGCAUGACUUAUUGAGCCUAAGUUGUGUCAAGGACCCCAAACUCUAAAAGACUGGUUCUCAAACUUUUACCUGUUCCAAGUACACCAAGGAUGGAACUAAUGAGUGUCUACCAGGUAGGUACACAGCAUGACCUUAAAGAGAUGCUUAGCUGAGGAGUGAGGAACAUGACCUCAAAGCAUCACAUCACAAUUUCCAGAGAGACGUGAGGUUUGGAGACUCUGUGUUUUUCUAGCCCAUCUAGUUUGGAAAGAAAUAGGAAACAUUCACAUACAGGCAAGUUUUGGAAAUCUUGAUACCUGAUACCUCCCUGACUAUUGUAAGUAAAGCUAUUUGCCAGGAAAAUGAGAAAUAAAAUUAGAACAAGAAUGAGGAAAUCGUAGCUGGAAAGGACUGGAAAUAAGAAUGGAAACCAGCUAAAUGAAAAGAUAUGCAUCAAUAAUUAGCUGAGAUACACUUUUUAUGUUCAACAAAUGUUCCAUAUUUGACAAAAGAAAUAUAUCACAGGGAAAAUAAAGCAGUGAAUUCUUUUUGUUCUAAAUGUGUACUCUUAAAUGUAAGCAAAAAACUUAAAAUUCAAAGGAUAUGAACAGAAUAGUUGUAAAAGUCUUUGCCAGCCUGCUUUCAAUUUGACAAAAUAGACAAGAAUAAAUAAUAGAGUUACGUCAAUAGAAAUGUAUUUUUAGCUUUGUGACUUUAUGAUCAGAGAAUAUAUUGUGAUCAGAGAAUAUAUUGCAUUUUAGCAUAUACAUAAGUAGUUUUAAAAAGUUGACUCUAUAGCAAGGAACAAGGAAAAAUAACAGUAAAUUCCCCAAAGAAAAGUGUAUUAGAAGGUAACACAUCCCACUAAGAAAUAAAAAAGCAGCCAGCUAAGUAACUGUGGAACCCAGGAGAAAAUACAACACAGUUACAACAUAAUUAGAACAUAAGAUCACUUAGUACUUCAGCAAAAAUGUUAUUCAGGGGUAAAUUCAUAGACUUUAAAUCUUUUAAAGAGAGAGAAUGAGAAUACAAGGAUGCAAGAUAAAAGAGGAAGGAGCACAAGAAGAAUGAGAAGAAUAAUAAAGUUAAAAGCAGAACUUUCCAAAUGAGAAAAAUAAAACUGUAAAGUUGGUUAUUUUUUGCAAAAAUGGAAGUUUUUUUUUUUUCUUUUAUAAUGUCUGUAUCAUGUGAUGGUGGAUGUUUUAUACAGUCAUGAUGUCAGGAAAUAAAGGAAAUAAAGGCUACAUGAUAGCCAUGGUUGUAUUUGUUUGAGAGAAGGAGAUUUUUUAACCAAACCUAAUUAUUUACCCAAAAUGUUGAUAAGCGAAGACCUUUGUUAUUAGGAUAUUUUAUUCCAUUACUUGAAGAAAGUAAUUAUUAAGGUCUUGUUUUGCCACAAGUCCUUUGGUUUCUUGCUGAGGUCUACUUGUCUACCAUAAAUAUUUUAUUUACUAUGAAUUUUCCUAAGAUAUAGUGACUGCUGAAGAAGAAUGAAAGAAAUGAGCCAAAUUUGAGGAUUCUAAUCUGGGAAUAAUACUUUAUAAAGCUCUGAGAACUUUUCUGCCCAUUAGAAGUCAAGGUACACUUAUGUGAGUUUUUUGAGACAGAGGGCUGUGUGUUAAAUCACAUAUUGUUGACCGUUUGCACAAUCCACAUCUAAGUAUCGUUGUGGCCCCUUAGGAGAUAGAGAAGGAACAUUGUCUUUUAAGGUGUCUUGUUGAUGCUGGGAGAAUGUUGCUCUUUAAGGUUGGAUGGAUAUUUCUGCCAGUGGAGAAGUUUUGGUGGAUCCCUAAUGUAGAUACACAUUGUCCCGUGGGGGUGGGGUGGCAAAGGCCAGAGAAAAUUUUUUUGUUUAAAUUUUUCUUGUUUUGCCACAAAAUAUGAAUUUAUAUCACUCUAUAUAGAAUUAGAAUAGUUUUUUUUUUUCCAUACCCACAGCAUGCAGAAGUUCCCAGGCCAGGGAUCAAACCCAUGCCACAGCAGUGACCCAAGCCUCUGCAGUGACAAUGCUGGAUCCUUAACCCACUGUACCACAAGGGAACUCGAAUAAUUCUUUUAAAAUCUUUUUGUCAUCCAUGUGGAUCAUCUACCUACUUGAUCUGAGGAUUUUUCCCCCCUCUGUCCCUUACAUUUUACUGGUUCCACAAAGACAGGGGGUUUGGUCUGUUUGUUUACUAUAAUUCUUCAGAACCUAGAACAGUGCCUGGUCUACAGAGGCUCUCAGUACAUUGCUGAACAAACCAAUGAAAGGAAAUGCAAGCCCAUAGUUAAAUCAGACCUUGUACCAGAAAAGCACUUAGGCAGAACUUUCUUUGAGUAGACAUUUAAAUAAAUAUAUUGAUAGUCUUUGAUAUUUUAUACCACUUGAUAUUCUGCACCAUCAGAGACAUGGAGUUGUAUUUCAUUUCUUUAGGAAUUUUAGAAACUCCUUCCUGUGGGGCUAGACCUCAAAAGUCCCCAAGACUUGUUUCAAUACUUUUAGGCCUCUUUCUUCAGAUAGAUUUCAAAACCAUGUAUUUUAAGGGGCUCUAUAACAAUAUUAUACAUUAGAAUGUAUCUGCAAAUGGACAGACCAGAAUGGAAUGUGUAUUCAGAAUUGUUAAUUUGAGAGUGAUGAGACUGUCAGUCAUUUUCCUUUCUUAAGCUCUUCUCGUGUCACAAAUGGAGAGUCAACCUGACCCAGAGUUACCCUCCCAGUGGUCCCAUCUCUGCUGGUCCCCCUUCUUCUGCAGUUGGUCUGCAGACUUGAGACCAGGCCAGAGGCAGGACACCAUCUCCUGGACUAGGAUGAUUGGUCCAGGGGUGGAAGUGACCCAAACCACCAAUCAGAGCCCUUUUCAAACAAAAGAUCUGAGACAGUGUUAUUCUGGAAUGACCUACUGCUGCCUCCCUCGUAGAGGAAGGCCAUCUCUAUCUGAAAAAGGAACCAGUGUACCAAAAAGGAAGUUGCUGUGCAAGAUGGCAUCAGGCACUCCCACCGCCAGCUCCACUUCUGCCACGUGCAGCCUUAACUUCCUCUCCUUCUGUGAGGAAUUAUCUCAACAUGCUUGCACUUCCUUUGUUCUAAAGUGGAUUUCUGUUGCUUGCAAGCAGAAACAUCCUAAUUCAGUCAUUCGAAUUCUUUGGAAUAUAUUUUGUUUGAAAGAAGAAAGUCGACGUUUUUAAUAAAAUAUACUUGGGGAAAACUCUCUACCUUUGGGACUGGACUAUGGAUUGUGCUUGAAUUUUUUAUCUACAACAUGCAAAUUAGAUGCAGAUUUUGUUGUGGUAAUAUCAAGUGUCUUAGCCAUAAAAUAAAUGAAUGCAGACUGUUGGCAACUUUCCCUUAGGCUAAGAAAAUGAGCAGUUCCACAGCAUUUCUGUUUUGGAAGGCUUACCCUUUGGAGGCCUAGUCAAAGAAAGUUCUUUACUGAAGUCAUGAGACCUUAGAGCUGUUUUUAAACCUACCCAUAUAGCCCAAAAGAGCCCUUGAGAGUUUUCUUCUUCAAAGAAGUUUAAUAUGCCUACUAGCAAAUCAGUCUACUAGCAAAUUUUUCUGAGAAUACUGUACACAAAUUCCCCAUGUCUUCCUCCUAUUGAAGCAUACAUUUACUUUCCCCCUACUCCAUAUUUGAUGUGAAAUAUUUCAAAGGGGUUAGAGAACAUAUGCGGAGUGACUGUACCUUUCACCAAAUGUAAAAAUUGGAAAGUACAAUUCAUUUUCCCUAGGCUGCCGCAACCCAGAGGAAAACUUAAAUUAGCCUUAAUAGUAACAAGAAGUGUUUUGUAUUUGCUUUUUUUUUUUUUUUUUUUUUUUUUUAAAUUCUGUCCCAACUGCCAGACAGCCUCAUAAAGCUUUCCCUAAUUAUUUGGGGGAAUUGCUGUAGAGCUGCUCCAACAGUCAGAUAGAGUCCACAACGCUCUCUGACUCUGACUUCAGCUCCUGCAGAAACGUCCGCUGCUAGCAGCUAUGGAAGGCACUGCAGGGCUGAUGCUGCAACAGGGGCCAACUGUGGCUGCCACACCCUACCCUGGAGCCCUCGGAGCCCCUCAGGGACUGGGUGUAGGUGAGGAGGCUGUGGAUGUCUCACACUAGGCCCUGGAGCUCUAUGUUCCUUCCCGAAGCAGGGGGUUCUCCCAUCUCCUGUUAGGUACAUGGUUCCCAAGAGAGCAUGGCCAUGUGCCCCAGCGUGAUUUUAUAGUGCUGCAAUACAGGGCUCUUCAAACUCGUUUGAUAUAAAGUAGCUUUUCUUUUGUUGAAACAUUUAUUUUGAAACACAAAUGAGCUGGUUGGCUAUCUAGUAUAAGUCAGAUUUUUAUUGUUGUUCAGUUUUAAUAGUUUUUGAAGGCAAUCUAGGUUAGGCAAGAACAAAAUGCCAUUGUUUGCCUUUGAUUGGGGGAUGGGAAGGGGAUGUUCUCUACACAUCUCCUUCUUUAACUUUGCACUUUCUUUAUAUAAUACUUUGUAUUGUGGGUAUUUACUGCCCUGGAUACAUUCAGGAAGAAUGAAUUAAAUAUUCAGGGUGAGUGAAUUCAGUAUAAGAUCUAAAGUCUUCAGUUGUGAAAACAGAAAAAAUAGAUAACAUUUUAUCUUUACCGUGGAGGAUGAUGGUUGCAUGUUUCUAAUUGGCAUAUGUUUCCCUCUUUGUGAUAAGAUGCUUUAAUAAAUCUCAAAUAUUAAAAAAAGUAGAAUAUUUGGUGAAAUGGGCCAUGUGCUUCUUUGUUGGUGAUUGCUGUACUCAGAACCUCUGUCCCUCCUUUGGACUCAAGCAGUGUUUCUGGUCUAUGUCUGGGUCCCCAGGGCCCUCUUCUCUGAGACCGGGCUCCUCUGCAGGUCUCCUAAUUCUCUGUACACAUGGACCAUUGGCCGACUCACCCACCCAUCCUGCAGACCAGUCUAAGUCUUAGAGCAACAUAUGUUAUUCCCAACUUGGUUUACUCUUCUAAGGAAGGACCUCAUGUCUGUUAGAUUUAUUUGAUAUCAUUACGUGCACAGUAACAAUUUUCACAUAGAUUAAGAGAAAAUUGCUUAGGAGAAAAUGGAACGGCUGGCAGUGGUUUGUGAUGUAUGGUGCAUUCAGACAAUUAGGUACAAUGUGGAGUUUUCAAGUAACGAUCAUGAAGAUUAUGUAGCCACAUGGAAACAUGCUCAUUAUAUAUUUUGAAGUGGAAAAAUCAGGAUGCAAAAUUAUAUGUAUGUUAUGAUUAUAACUAUUAUUACUUGUGAUUAUAACCAUUAUUACUUAUGAUUUUUGUUGUAUAGGAAUAGGUAGAGAAUAUAGCAGAGUGUUAGAAUGAGGGCCAUGGGUUACAUCAUAACAAAAGGGUACUUUUUAGCAUGUUUAUUGUCUAUAUAUAUAUAUAUAUAUAUAUAUAUGCUGAAUAUAUACUUUACUAAACAGCAUAUAUUUAGUAAAGUCUAAACUGUUAGCAGUAUUAAACAUUGAGUAACCUUCCUAUUUUUUAAAACAUAAUUCCUAAACACCAGCACUAAAGAAUCUUUUAGUCCAUCUGAUUACUGAAAAAACCUGAAGUAAAUAAAAUAUAAUUUUUUUAUCUCUUAACUCUCCCCCCUCAUAAUGAAUGAUUUGUAUGACAACGACUUGUUACGUAAACACAGAAGGGAAGAUUAAAAAAGAAAUAAUUCAUCUUCUGCAGUACUAUAGUAAUGCCUUUAUAAUAUACUGGCCCUUUUUGUUAUGAUUUGUAAGUUUGUUAGCGUCGGAGCAGAAGAUGGCAAAGGUUAUAAUGGAAUAGAACCUAAUAAAGGGACUAUUUACAAAGGUAUGGGGAGAUGUAGGCAACACAAAAGGAAGGGAGGGUGAAGCGUGCAGGAGCGGGCAGCUCUCUGGAAGGUAUCACUAUGCAGCCUGAAGGAGCAGCAGGAUGAACAGACCUGGAGCCUAGUGAGAGCGGUUGCCAUGGGGGCUGCCUGGCAGGAGCUGUGGCCACAGAGAAACAGAAUUGUUGCUGAAAUAGUAUGGGUAUCUGGCAGAGGAAGGUGUAUACCCUAGUCUCUCUCCUUUACCCGCUGAUAGCCUGUCAGUGCCUCUUCGGCCAAACCCAAUUUCAGACCAAGAGGUCAAGGUUGUUUAGUGAUACCCACCUGUGGUACAGCCUCUCCAGAAACAUCUUGCUUUCAAUGCCCCAGAUCAGGGAUAUCGGCUCUCAUUUUGACUCAGAAUUACCUCUUUUUUUUCUUUUACAGCUGCACCUGUGGCAUAUGAAAUUUCCUGGGCUAGGGGUUGAAUUGGAGCUACAGCUGCCGGCUACAUCACAGCCACAGCAAUGCCAGAUCUGAGCAGUGUCUGUGACCUGUGCUGCAGCUUGCUGUAAUCCCAGAUCCAUAGCCAGUGGGAGCAAGGCCAGGGAUCAAAUCUGCAUCCUCACGAGACUACAUUGGAUGCAUAACCCGCUGAGCCACAAUGGGAACUCCUCAAAGUGAACUCUUGAGUCCCCUACCCCCACCCCGUUCUGGUUCAAUUUCCUAGAGUCAGGGUGGAAGUGGUUUUAGAGACCGGACAUCAACACUUUCCUCCGAAAGAGGCCAUAGAGGUCAGGGUAGCUGAUGGGUGUGAUGGUGCUUAAUGACUUCCCAGUGUAAUCAGAGGUGGAUGUCAUUGAUUUUUCAGUCCUUCAGCCAGCCCUUCCUGGUGCUAGAAUAGAACUGGGUGGCUAACAUUGCAUAUAAAGACAUCUGAGGGCUGUCCCAGCAGCUGUCACAGUACCAGGGAACAUCAUCUCUUGGAAUACUUCCUAGAAGACAAAGUUUUGAGUAGACUCUGGCACCUAAAAUGGGUAUUUAUACAACAGGCGAGGGGGCAGAACAGCCUUUACAGGUAGGGGCACGUGCAGGAAUCGAUGUAACAAGAGGAGAUCAAGUUUGCCUCACAAUUUUAAAAUGACACUUU
RNAcentral lists this long non-coding RNA (6943 nucleotides) under Sus scrofa (pig). RNAcentral's name for it is "lncRNA (ENSSSCG00000063024.1)". Lineage: Eukaryota; Metazoa; Chordata; Mammalia; Artiodactyla; Suidae. The record is from RNAcentral.